GGGCGUUUGGUUUAGUGGUAUAAUACCCCAUUCGCAUUGGGGUGGUCCUGGGUUCGAUUCCCAGAACGUCCA
Non-coding RNA from Ascosphaera pollenicola, 72 nucleotides. Lineage: Eukaryota; Fungi; Ascomycota; Eurotiomycetes; Onygenales; Ascosphaeraceae. The record is from the annotation of a GenBank genome assembly.